This 73-nucleotide transfer RNA is filed under the name Bos taurus (domestic cattle). It matches the Rfam family "tRNA". From Rfam's summary of the family: Transfer RNA (tRNA) molecules are approximately 80 nucleotides in length. Their secondary structure includes four short double-helical elements and three loops (D, anti-codon, and T loops). Further hydrogen bonds mediate the characteristic L-shaped molecular structure. tRNAs have two regions of fundamental functional importance: the anti-codon, which is responsible for specific mRNA codon recognition, and the 3' end, to which the tRNAs corresponding amino acid is attached (by aminoacyl-tRNA synthetases). tRNAs cope with the degeneracy of the genetic code in two manners: having more than one tRNA (with a specific anti-codon) for a particular amino acid; and 'wobble' base-pairing, i.e. permitting non-standard base-pairing at the 3rd anti-codon position. Lineage: Eukaryota; Metazoa; Chordata; Mammalia; Artiodactyla; Bovidae. The record is from Rfam by way of RNAcentral. RNAcentral also lists the same sequence under 2 other names.
UCCCUAGUGGUCCAGUCAUUAGGACUCCAUGUUUCCGAAGUAUGGGGCGCAGGUUCAAUCCCUGGUCAGGGAA